This 491-nucleotide ribosomal RNA is filed under the name uncultured bacterium. RNAcentral describes it as "partial 16S ribosomal RNA". It matches the Rfam family "Bacterial small subunit ribosomal RNA", at positions 29 to 507 of the family's 1533-position model. The record is from RNAcentral.
AUGCACGCUAGCUACAGGCUUAACACAUGCCAGUCGAGGGGAAACGGCAUUGAGUGCUUGCACUCUUUGGACGUCGACCGGCGCACGGGUGAGUAACGCGUAUCCAACCUUCCCAUUACUGUGGGAUAACCUGCCGAAAGGCAGACUAAUACCGCAUAGUCUUCGAUGACGGCAUCAGAUUUGAAGUAAAGAUUUAUCGGUAAUGGAUGGGGAUGCGUCUGAUUAGCUUGUUGGCGGGGUAACGGCCCACCAAGGCUACGAUCAGUAGGGGUUCUGAGAGGAAGGUCCCCCACAUUGGAACUGAGACACGGUCCAAACUCCUACGGGAGGCAGCAGUGAGGAAUAUUGGUCAAUGGACGGAAGUCUGAACCAGCCAAGUAGCGUGCAGGAUGACGGCCCUAUGGGUUGUAAACUGCUUUUGUAUGGGGAUAAAGUUAGGGACGUGUCCCUAUUUGCAGGUACCAUACGAAUAAGGACCGGCUAAUUCCGUG